UACAGAGGGUGCAAGCGUUAAUCGGAAUUACUGGGCGUAAAGGGCUCGUAGGCGGCCAACUAAGUCGGACGUGAAAUCCCUCGGCUUAACCGGGGAACUGCGUCCGAUACUGGAUGGCUUGAGAUUGGGAGAGGGAUGCGGAAUUCCAGGUGUAGCGGUGAAAUGCGUAGAUAUCUGGAGGAGCACCGGUGGCGAAGGCGGCAUCCUGGACCAAUACUGACGCUGAGUGAGCGAAAGCCAGGGGAGCAAACGGG
Molecule: ribosomal RNA, 254 nt
Filed under: uncultured bacterium
Lineage: Bacteria
Description: partial 16S ribosomal RNA
Rfam family: Bacterial small subunit ribosomal RNA
Source: RNAcentral